Long non-coding RNA from Mus musculus (house mouse), 1385 nucleotides. RefSeq annotates it as predicted gene, 54244. The transcript is spliced from 3 exons. The record is from RefSeq and is a predicted model, not a curated record. Lineage: Eukaryota; Metazoa; Chordata; Mammalia; Rodentia; Muridae.
CUCGUGAUAAGUGCUCUAUCAUUCAUGACUUGAAAUCAGUCAUGGGACAUAUUGGUGGAGGUUCCGGAAUGUUCUGGGAGCUUUAGAGUCAUAACCACGGAGACAUCAUUUCUGAUGAAUCAACUCUUGUGAUACGGUAUCAGCAAGGCAUAAGGAGUAUUGUCAGCUAUGACUCAAUACCCAUCAUCUGAAUAAAGAAGUUGAAGCUUGCCCUGCCCCGCGGAGCUGCUCUGUAGGUCUCACCAGUGCAUCCUUCCACCAUCCUGACCAGACUCCAGUUUCACUUCUGCCGUCUCAACAACUGUGUGGGCCCACCCUGCUGGCUAAGCAACCACCAAUAAGAAUCUGUGUUCAGCCUCCUCUUCUGCCCCAGAAUGGAGACUCUCUCCAAGAGUGAGUCUGAAGAGCUAAGGACUUUAGGGGCAGAGACACUCCCUCUCAGCCCUCAGGCCACUUGAGGACACGGAUCCCUUGGGGGCAUCAGGCCCAAAGGCUAUUCGAAAGUCAUAGCUAAACCAGGCGGGCCCUUGGCAACGCCUUCCUGGGCAGGAGUAAGCAUGACGUAAUUCAGAAAGACACUUGGGUUUAAGGCAACUUCUUCAAACCAACAGCCUCCCGACAGCCCUUCCAGGAAAAACACCAGCUUUCAACAAGAAAUGAAACCUUUGGAAAGCUUGUUGCACACAGUUCAGGCCUUCAGAGACACUCAGGACCCCGUGUGGAGUCAGAGGCUGAACUAAGGGCACAGAACUGCCUGAGAUGACACACAUUUGUCCUGUCUCCCCUGAGGAAUAGAGCUGCUUGUUUGGAAUCAGACAAAGGCAGUACGUACCAGGCAUUUCAAAUGACCUGUUUCUUAAUAAGCCUGUAUCCCACUCAAGCGGCCUAAGCCCUGGAAACCUCAUCUUUUUACUGUAAAAUGCGAACUAUCGUAUCACCGCGAAGGUGGGGAUGAGGUUCAAAGUAAGCCCUUGAUGAAUUAGGUUGAGCCACUGAAAUCUCUAUUAUUGAGGCUCAAAGGUUCGAUUACUAGAAAUCUCAUAUGCUUCUUUGUGCCGCUAGGGGCCUAGCCUAGUUGGAGAGGUUCUAAACUGAGCCAUAUUUUAGUGUCCCUCAAACGUUACGAAACACAGGGAGUGGUUGGGAUGGUGAGGGCUGGGUGAAAAGGUCUCAUUCAGCAACUUUGUGGACGUCUAUCUGCUUUGCUUGUCAACUUGACACAGCCUAGAGUUAUCUCAGACAAAAGACUCGGUUGAAGAAUUGUCUAAAUCAGACUGGCCUAUGGGCACAUAAGAGGGUUAUUGAUUAUUAAUUGAUAUAAGAGGGCCCAGCCUAUGGUACCAUCCCUCAAUAGUGAACCUGAGCUAUGUAAAAACUAGCCAAUG